RNAcentral lists this unclassified non-coding RNA (343 nucleotides) under soil metagenome. RNAcentral's name for it is "partial contains 5.8S ribosomal RNA, internal transcribed spacer 2, and large subunit ribosomal RNA". The stretch from base 1 to 120 matches the Rfam family "5.8S ribosomal RNA", at positions 35 to 154 of the family's 154-position model. The record is from RNAcentral.
GAUGAAGAACGCAGCGAAAUGCGAUAAGUAAUGUGAAUUGCAGACUUCAGUGAAUCAUCGAAUCUUUGAACGCACAUUGCGCCCGCUAGUAUUCUGGCGGGCAUGCCUGUCCGAGCGUCAUUUCAACCCUCAAGCCCCCGGGCUUGGUGUUGGGGAUCGGCGAGCCUCCGCGCCCGCCGUCCCCUAAAUCUAGUGGCGGUCUCGCUGUAGCUUCCUCUGCGUAGUAGCACACCUCGCACUGGGAAACAGCGCGGCCACGCCGUUAAACCCCCAACUUCUGAACGUUUGACCUCGGAUCAGGUAGGAAUACCCGCUGAACUUAAGCAUAUCAAUAAGCGGAGGA